GAGGGUGUAGCUCAAGAGGUAAAGCAUGUGCUUAGCAUGAACAAGGUCCUAGGUUCAACCCCCAGAACCCUCA
This 73-nucleotide transfer RNA is filed under the name Camelus bactrianus (Bactrian camel). It matches the Rfam family "tRNA". From Rfam's summary of the family: Transfer RNA (tRNA) molecules are approximately 80 nucleotides in length. Their secondary structure includes four short double-helical elements and three loops (D, anti-codon, and T loops). Lineage: Eukaryota; Metazoa; Chordata; Mammalia; Artiodactyla; Camelidae. The record is from Rfam by way of RNAcentral. RNAcentral also lists the same sequence under 1 other name.